UUUCGAUAAAAUCACUGGGGGCACUGGCAAUCAUGCGCUCAUAGUAGAACGAGCUCAGGGUCUUGAGGAAAAUCUUGGUCAUCUCAUUUUCUUCCAAAUGAGGGGUAAUCUGAGCGGCAAGCUCUCUCCAUCGCUGAGCGUACUCCUUGAACGUCUCCUUGUCCUUCUGAGACAAUGACCUCAAUUGGUCCCUAUCCAGCGUCAUAUUCAU
Molecule: long non-coding RNA, 211 nt
Filed under: Lathyrus oleraceus (garden pea)
Lineage: Eukaryota; Viridiplantae; Streptophyta; Magnoliopsida; Fabales; Fabaceae
Description: Pisum sativum (pea) long non-coding RNA (PSAT_LNC011324)
Source: RNAcentral